Molecule: long non-coding RNA, 542 nt
Organism: Bos indicus x Bos taurus (hybrid cattle)
Lineage: Eukaryota; Metazoa; Chordata; Mammalia; Artiodactyla; Bovidae
Source: Ensembl
CUGCCCUCUGGGACUCAGGGAAUGUUAAGGAGGCUGCAGUCUAUUCCUUACAAACUAGAAAUGGGGGACAGGAAGGCUUCCAUGCCCAGGAACCCCACAGGAUCCUGCUCAGUUUCACUCUCCUGGUUUCUAGAGAGGGGAUCUCACCAGUGGGAAAAUGGGAGACUGAUGAGCCAUCUGAGCCUUCCUUGCCCAGUGCUCCGAAGGAAGAAAGACAUUGUUCAGCAAAUCAAACAGGACUGAAACUUAUCCCAGAGCUUCCCCAGUGGCUCAGCGGUAAAGAACCCACCUGCAAUACAGGAGACACAGGAGACCCGGGUUCAAUCCCUGGGUCAGGAAGAUCCCCUGGAGGAGGACAUGGUAACCCACUCCAGUAUGCUUGCCUGGAGAAUCCCAUGGACAGAGGAGGCUGGCGGGCUACCGUCCACAGGAUCACAAAGAGUCGGAUGAAACUGAGCUGCACACAUGUAUACAGUUGUUUUGCUUUCCUUUUUAUCUGCAAUUAUUUCCCUGUUAUCUUGUUUUAAAUAUUUACAUUUGUG